Long non-coding RNA from Sinocyclocheilus rhinocerous, 100 nucleotides. RefSeq lists it as uncharacterized. The record is from RefSeq and is a predicted model, not a curated record. The transcript is spliced from 3 exons. NCBI's taxonomy places the organism in Eukaryota, Metazoa, Chordata, Actinopteri, Cypriniformes, Cyprinidae.
UGGGGGGACAUAGCACAAGAGAAUUAAUUGAGUUACUAACCAAUGCAACCCAAGAAACAAGAAUUAGACCAAUAAACAAAACAACUGACAACACUUAUUG